This 72-nucleotide transfer RNA is filed under the name Streptomyces phage BRock. RNAcentral describes it as "tRNA-Thr". It matches the Rfam family "tRNA". Rfam says of the family: Transfer RNA (tRNA) molecules are approximately 80 nucleotides in length. Their secondary structure includes four short double-helical elements and three loops (D, anti-codon, and T loops). The record is from RNAcentral. Lineage: Duplodnaviria; Heunggongvirae; Uroviricota; Caudoviricetes.
GCCCUACUAGUUCAAUGGUAGAAUGACUCCUUCGUACGGAGUAGGUUGGGGUUCGAUUCCUCAGUGGGGCUC